AUACUUACCUGGCAGAGGAGAUGCCACAAUCAAGAAAGUGAUUUUCCCAAGGUGAGGCUUAUCUAUUGUACUUCGGAUGUGCUGACCCCUGCGACUUCCCCAAAUGUGGUAAACUCAACGGCCUAAUUUGUGGUAGUGGGAGACUGAACUCGUGCUCUCCCU
This 162-nucleotide small nuclear RNA is filed under the name Dasypus novemcinctus (nine-banded armadillo). Its description in RNAcentral is "U1 spliceosomal RNA (ENSDNOG00000046071.1)". It matches the Rfam family "U1 spliceosomal RNA". Rfam says of the family: U1 is a small nuclear RNA (snRNA) component of the spliceosome (involved in pre-mRNA splicing). Its 5' end forms complementary base pairs with the 5' splice junction, thus defining the 5' donor site of an intron. There are significant differences in sequence and secondary structure between metazoan and yeast U1 snRNAs, the latter being much longer (568 nucleotides as compared to 164 nucleotides in human). The record is from RNAcentral. Lineage: Eukaryota; Metazoa; Chordata; Mammalia; Cingulata; Dasypodidae.